RNAcentral lists this ribosomal RNA (253 nucleotides) under uncultured bacterium. RNAcentral's name for it is "partial 16S ribosomal RNA". It matches the Rfam family "Bacterial small subunit ribosomal RNA", at positions 57 to 305 of the family's 1533-position model. The record is from RNAcentral.
GCAAGUCGAACGAGAACGGUACUAGCUUGCUAGUAUGUCAGCUAAGUGGCGGACGGGUGAGUAAUGUAUAGUUAAUCUGCCCCCUAGAGAGGGAUAACAGUUAGAAAUGACUGCUAAUACCUCAUACUCCUUUUGUGGUAAACAUAAAAGGGAAACGUCUUUUCGCUAGGGGAUGAGACUAUAUGGUAUCAGGUAGUUGGUAGGGUAAGAGCCUACCAAGCCAAUGACGCCUAGCUGGUCUGAGAGGAUGAUC